AGCCUGAGGGUUUUGGGCGUGGUGCCUAGAUCAGCCCAGGAAUUGCCUGCAAGCAUCCAAGAGGAGCACCGCACUACUUGUGGGUGAAGCUGUGUCCUAUUUGGAUACUCGCCAGGAUACAGAGAAAUUCUGCUAUAUAAACCUAUGUCAGGAGCUGGAAAAUCAGUUCUCUGGCGAGUUCUUCAACCAGCCUCAUGAAGUCUCCAACCAUGCAACUCAACAACCUAGACUCUGCCAUGAAGGUUCCAACUCUGCAUUAACAACUCUCUUGUGAAGUUCAACUUCUAAACAGUUAUCACACACAUUCAUCGUUGAUUAGUGGUUCUUACCUAGAAACUUGUCAAUUUUGAAUGCUUAUAUACUGUACAAAAUGCAAACCAACCAGCCAGCACUGCCACAGAAGUCCUUCAGAAUGUACCUGAU
Molecule: long non-coding RNA, 423 nt
Organism: Limulus polyphemus (Atlantic horseshoe crab)
Lineage: Eukaryota; Metazoa; Arthropoda; Merostomata; Xiphosura; Limulidae
Exons: 3
Source: RefSeq, a predicted model, not a curated record